AAAGCACCCUCUUGUAUGAACUGAAGAACAGACAUAUUACACUGGACAAUGACAAACAUAAGUUAAUUCUUCAGUAUCUUCACUGAAUUGGAGUCAUUAUGUGGUACAAGGAAAUCCCAGAAUUGGCUGGUUCUUUGUUUGUAGAACCAUCAUUCCUCAUCUCAUUGUUUAAGACUACUGUGGACCAAUAAGAAGGAAGGAAGUCUCCUUUCACUACUAAAACACUUUGAUGUAUGCUUGCCGACCAAACAUAACAGUCCUCUCAAUCCAAAAGCCAACGAAUUCUGUCCGAAGCAAAAUUGGGUACCCUCAAAUCCGAUUGUGUAUGAGCCAGAUGCUUGUCUUUUCCCAAGUUACCUGCCAGACAACGAACAGGUAGAGCAAAAGUGGGUAUCAGACAAUCCAGAGGACCUAAAUAUCCAUGUUUACUUCCUACCUGAGAUACCACAUGGUUUCUUUCACAGGCUUGUCAUCAGGGCGUGCUCCUUAUACUCUCCAUACUGGAUCGGAAAAGACCAGUGUGUGCUGUGCUGUGGUGACAGACGGUUUCUACUCAGAGAACGCCGUGAUGAG
RNAcentral lists this long non-coding RNA (573 nucleotides) under Sinocyclocheilus anshuiensis. RNAcentral's name for it is "lncRNA (ENSSANG00000026362.1)". The record is from RNAcentral. Lineage: Eukaryota; Metazoa; Chordata; Actinopteri; Cypriniformes; Cyprinidae.